This 356-nucleotide ribosomal RNA is filed under the name Meriderma carestiae. RNAcentral's name for it is "bacterial SSU rRNA". It matches the Rfam family "Eukaryotic small subunit ribosomal RNA", at positions 80 to 350 of the family's 1831-position model. The record is from RNAcentral. Lineage: Eukaryota; Evosea; Eumycetozoa; Stemonitida; Stemonitidae.
UCUGAAUCUGCGAACGGCUCCGCAAACCAGUUGUAAACUAUAGCAAACAAGCUCAGGGUGAGGCUAGAAAUGGCUCUGCCCUGGGUGAUAUGGAUAACCCUGGUAAUUCUGAGGCUAAUACAAGAAAUUAAAGCACCCUGGCUGACUGGGCUUAGGCUUGGAAAGCUGGGUGGGAUGUGUGAUUGCAAGCUUGGAUGAGCUGGGAAAGGGCACACAUCUAGACCACUGUACAAAAGGACCAGCCUUUUUCCCCCUGCUCCCCUCUGGGGGGGUGGGUGGUUGGGUUGGCCCUAGUGGCUCUUGCUGUGUGCUUCUGACCUAUCAACUAGAUGGCAGCCUAUAGGACAUGCCAUGGU